Molecule: ribosomal RNA, 441 nt
Filed under: Escherichia coli
Lineage: Bacteria; Pseudomonadati; Pseudomonadota; Gammaproteobacteria; Enterobacterales; Enterobacteriaceae
Description: bacterial SSU rRNA
Rfam family: Bacterial small subunit ribosomal RNA
Source: RNAcentral
AGAGAUCUGGAGGAAUACCGGUGGCGAAGGCGGCCCCCUGGACGAAGACUGACGCUCAGGUGCGAAAGCGUGGGGAGCAAACAGGAUUAGAUACCCUGGUAGUCCACGCCGUAAACGAUGUCGACUUGGAGGUUGUGCCCUUGAGGCGUGGCUUCCGGAGCUAACGCGUUAAGUCGACCGCCUGGGGAGUACGGCCGCAAGGUUAAAACUCAAAUGAAUUGACGGGGGCCCGCACAAGCGGUGGAGCAUGUGGUUUAAUUCGAUGCAACGCGAAGAACCUUACCUGGUCUUGACAUCCACAGAACUUUCCAGAGAUGGAUUGGUGCCUUCGGGAACUGUGAGACAGGUGCUGCAUGGCUGUCGUCAGCUCGUGUUGUGAAAUGUUGGGUUAAGUCCCGCAACGAGCGCAACCCUUAUCCUUUGUUGCCAGCGGUCCGGCCG